RNAcentral lists this non-coding RNA (29 nucleotides) under Homo sapiens (human). The record is from RNAcentral. Lineage: Eukaryota; Metazoa; Chordata; Mammalia; Primates; Hominidae.
UGGCCGAUGGUCUUGAGGAUCCUACACUU